This 433-nucleotide ribosomal RNA is filed under the name uncultured bacterium. RNAcentral's name for it is "bacterial SSU rRNA". It matches the Rfam family "Bacterial small subunit ribosomal RNA", at positions 29 to 507 of the family's 1533-position model. The record is from RNAcentral.
AACGAACGCUGGCGGCAGGCCUAAUACAUGCAAGUCGAGCGCUCUAGCAAUAGAGAGCGGCGCACGGGUGCGUAACGCGUGGGAAUGUACCUCUAGGUGCGGAACAACGUCGGGAAACUGACGCUAAUACCGCAUAAUAUCUCCGGAUCAAAGAUUUAUCGCCUAGGGAUCAGCCCGCGUUGGAUUAGCUAGUUGGUGAGGUAAUGGCUCACCAAGGCGACGAUCCAUAGCUGGUCUGAGAGGAUGAUCAGCCACACUGGGACUGAGACACGGCCCAGACUCCUACGGGAGGCAGCAGUAAGGAAUAUUGGACAAUGGAGGAAACUCUGAUCCAGCCAUGCCGCGUGAGUGAAGAAGGCCUUCGGGUUGUAAAGCUCUUUUAGAUGUGACGAUGAUGACGGUAGCAUCAGAAAAAGCUCCGGCUAACUUCGUG